AUGUUCUGUAAAUGUCUGUUACAUCCAUUUAGCCUAACCUGCAGUCUAAAUUCAAUGUUUCUUUGUUAAUUUUCUCUCUAGGUGAUCUGCCCAAUGCUGAGAGUGGGAUGUUGAUGUUUCCAACUAUUAUUGUAUUUAAUUCUCUCUC
Long non-coding RNA from Sapajus apella (tufted capuchin), 148 nucleotides. RefSeq lists it as uncharacterized. The record is from RefSeq and is a predicted model, not a curated record. The transcript has 3 exons. NCBI's taxonomy places the organism in Eukaryota, Metazoa, Chordata, Mammalia, Primates, Cebidae.